GGAGAGAUGGCUCAGAGGUUAAGAGCACUGACUGUUCUUCCAGAGGUCCUGAGUUCAAAUCCCAGCAACCACA
RNAcentral lists this transfer RNA (73 nucleotides) under Mus musculus (house mouse). Its description in RNAcentral is "tRNA-Asn". The record is from RNAcentral. Lineage: Eukaryota; Metazoa; Chordata; Mammalia; Rodentia; Muridae.